RNAcentral lists this transfer RNA (67 nucleotides) under Lottia goshimai. Its description in RNAcentral is "tRNA-Ser". Lineage: Eukaryota; Metazoa; Mollusca; Gastropoda; Lottiidae. The record is from RNAcentral.
UAGGGAGCCCAAAAAGGGUAAAUCAAGCUUCUAACUUGAUUAAGGGCGGUGAAGCGUCCCUCCUUAG